This 71-nucleotide transfer RNA is filed under the name Marmota monax (woodchuck). RNAcentral describes it as "tRNA.Thr". The stretch from base 5 to 67 matches the Rfam family "tRNA", at positions 5 to 66 of the family's 71-position model. Rfam says of the family: Transfer RNA (tRNA) molecules are approximately 80 nucleotides in length. Their secondary structure includes four short double-helical elements and three loops (D, anti-codon, and T loops). Lineage: Eukaryota; Metazoa; Chordata; Mammalia; Rodentia; Sciuridae. The record is from RNAcentral.
GGGAUUGUGGCUCAGUGGUAGUGUGCUUGCCUAGUAUGCAUGAGACACUGAGUUCGAUUUUCAGCAACACA